RNAcentral lists this ribosomal RNA (402 nucleotides) under uncultured bacterium. Its description in RNAcentral is "bacterial SSU rRNA". It matches the Rfam family "Bacterial small subunit ribosomal RNA", at positions 29 to 416 of the family's 1533-position model. The record is from RNAcentral.
AGCGAACGUUAGCGGCGGGCCUAACACAUGCAAGUCGAACGCGAAAGGUCUUCGGACUGAGUAGAGUGGCGCACGGGUGAGUAACACGUAGGUAAUCUACCCUUUGGCGGGGGAUAACGUUCCGAAAGGAGCGCUAAUACCGCAUAAGACCACGGAGUCUCCGGACGCUGUGGGAAAAGGUGGCCUCUUCUUGAAAGCUACCACCGAAGGAUGAGCCUGCGUCCCAUCAGCUAGUUGGUAAGGUAAUGGCUUACCAAGGCGAAGACGGGUAGCUGGUUUGAGAGAAUGAUCAGCCACACUGGCACUGGAACACGGGCCAGACUCCUACGGGAGGCAGCAGUGAGGAAUAUUGGGCAAUGGGCGAAAGCCUGACGCAGCCACGCCGCGUGAGCGAUGAAGGCC